This 26-nucleotide non-coding RNA is filed under the name Homo sapiens (human). Lineage: Eukaryota; Metazoa; Chordata; Mammalia; Primates; Hominidae. The record is from RNAcentral.
UGAGGAUGCUUGGCUUGAGGAUCUGG